CGCCCAUUAGAAAGGAUUUCAGUAUCACCCUCAUCCAAACCAAAACUCUUUAAGUCAAAACCUCGAAACAUACCCAAACAAAAAUAUGAGAGAAAAGCGUAGCGAUUAUGCCCUGUUUUUGCAUAUUCAAUAUCAGCAUGAACUGAAUUCGCUGCCAAAUCCAAAUCCCACCCAGCUUUUCUCAUCAAAUCUAUCAAAAUCUUAGUGAAUUUAUGUGUAGCCCUACAAGCAUCAUUUAACACAGAAUCGAAAACCCUAACAGACAACAAAACAUCACAAGAAGAAGGCAAAUUCAAAUUACCA
Molecule: unclassified non-coding RNA, 303 nt
Filed under: Hevea brasiliensis (rubber tree)
Lineage: Eukaryota; Viridiplantae; Streptophyta; Magnoliopsida; Malpighiales; Euphorbiaceae
Source: RNAcentral